Molecule: ribosomal RNA, 662 nt
Filed under: bacterium IMCC8639
Lineage: Bacteria
Description: bacterial SSU rRNA
Rfam family: Bacterial small subunit ribosomal RNA
Source: RNAcentral
AACGAACGCUGGCGGCAGGCCUAAUACAUGCAAGUCGAGCGCGCCCUUCGGGGUGAGCGGCGGACGGGUGAGUAACGCGUGGGAAUAUGCCCUUCUCUAAGGAAUAGCCUCUGGAAACGGAGAGUAAUACCUUAUACGCCCUUUGGGGGAAAGAUUUAUCGGAGAAGGAUUAGCCCGCGUUAGAUUAGGUAGUUGGUGGGGUAAUGGCCUACCAAGCCUACGAUCUAUAGCUGGUUUGAGAGGAUGAUCAGCCACACUGGGACUGAGACACGGCCCAGACUCCUACGGGAGGCAGCAGUAGGGAAUCUUAGACAAUGGGGGCAACCCUGAUCUAGCCAUGCCGCGUGUGUGAUGAAGGCCCUAGGGUCGUAAAGCACUUUCGCCAGAGAUGAUAAUGACAGUAUCUGGUAAAGAAACCCCGGCUAACUCCGUGCCAGCAGCCGCGGUAAUACGGAGGGGGCUAGCGUUGUUCGGAAUUACUGGGCGUAAAGCGCUCGUAGGCGGAUUAGUAAGUUAGAGGUGAAAUCCCAGGGCUCAACCCUGGAACUGCCUUUAAUACUGCUAGUCUUGAGUUCGAGAGAGGUAAGUGGAAUUCCGAGUGUAGAGGUGAAAUUCGUAGAUAUUCGGAGGAACACCAGUGGCGAAGGCGGCUCACUGGCUCU